CACACAAAUGCCCAUGUUUUUGUCCAGGGAGGCUGUGAAAGGAGGUGAGGAGGGCCUUGGUCAAUCCAGACCUACAGGAGGCCAGAAUGGCCGCUCUCCAAUGUCCCAUGGCAGCAUCCUUCUAGAAUGGCACUGAGCUCUGGAUUUGGAUGGAAGAAAUCUGGGGAGGAGGAUGCUUAACCCAACCCCGGCCUCAACCAGGAGGGAGAGGAAGGAGCCUGCUGGAAGUUCAGAGUCCUGCACCAAGUCUUUUUCUCCACCACUAACGUCAGAGGCAGGUGGGGAUUCCCCAACAGCUGGGCUCAGCAAUGUCUUCCGGAGAGUCAAGGAAUGGGAGAGACCAGAGACCAGAGGACUUCAGAGCCGGAAGGGACCUUGGACCACAGAACAUCAGAGGUGGAAGGACCUUAGAACACAGGGUGGCAGACGGGGAAAAGUUCGUUCUACUGCCACUUCUUUUAAUGGCUUCCUUCAAGACUGUGCUCAAAUCCUACCUUCUACAGGAGGCCUUUCUGGGUCCUCCCAGCUGCUACUGCCUUCCCCUCCGAGAUUACCUUACACAGUGUACAUGGAUGUACUAAUUAUUAUUAUGCUAUCCACCCACCCCCACCCCCUACAAUGUGAGAUCCUUGAGGGCAAAGACUGUC
This is a non-coding RNA of Phascolarctos cinereus (koala), 647 nucleotides long. Lineage: Eukaryota; Metazoa; Chordata; Mammalia; Diprotodontia; Phascolarctidae. The record is from RefSeq and is a predicted model, not a curated record.